RNAcentral lists this ribosomal RNA (497 nucleotides) under uncultured bacterium. Its description in RNAcentral is "partial 16S ribosomal RNA". It matches the Rfam family "Bacterial small subunit ribosomal RNA", at positions 28 to 507 of the family's 1533-position model. The record is from RNAcentral.
GAUGAACGCUGGCGGCGUGCCUAAUACAUGCAAGUCGAGCGAACAGACGAGGAGCUUGCUCCUCUGACGUUAGCGGCGGACGGGUGGGUAACACGUGGAUAACCUACCUAUAAGACUGGGAUAACUUCGGGAAACCGGAGCUAAUACCGGAUAAUAUAUUGAACCGCAUGGUUCAAUAGUGAAAGACGGUUUUGCUGUCACUUAUAGAUGGAUCCGCGCCGCAUUAGCUAGUUGGUAAGGUAACGGCUUACCAAGGCAACGAUGCGUAGCCGACCUGAGAGGGUGAUCGGCCACACUGGAACUGAGACACGGUCCAGACUCCUACGGGAGGCAGCAGUAGGGAAUCUUCCGCAGUGGGCGAAAGCCUGACGGAGCAACGCCGCGUGAGUGAUGAAGGUCUUCGGAUCGUAAAACUCUGUUAUUAGGGAAGAACAAAUGUGUAAGUAACUAUGCACGUCUUGACGGUACCUAAUCAGAAAGCCACGGCUAACUACGUG